RNAcentral lists this long non-coding RNA (1384 nucleotides) under Homo sapiens (human). RNAcentral describes it as "HSALNT0318226". The record is from RNAcentral. Lineage: Eukaryota; Metazoa; Chordata; Mammalia; Primates; Hominidae.
AAAAAUAAAAUUUACUGACUCUUGAUGACAGAGAAUUUAAUAUAACACCAUGUGUGUUUUUAGAGCAUUUGGUUGGCAGACUUUUGGUAAAACUUUUGUUAGCAUAGUUCGUAGUUUUAAAAAAAUCUACAAAUAAUUCUUCAUAAAACUAAACAAAAAUCAAAAUUUUGUAAUCAAUGUGCGAAGGAACAGACAAGUCCACAGUCGGCUGAUGGGACUAUCAAUUGCUUUUACGCUUUUAGAAAGGAAUUUACCAUAAUUAUCAAAAACCUUAGAAAUACUCUUAUUCUUAUCUCAAUAAUUCCAUUGAUGAGACUCCUUUUCUAAGAUACAACCUGAAAUCUGAGCCAAGUUCUAUGCACAAAGAUGUUCAUUGCAUCAUUACUUUUACAGAGUUAAAUCACUGGAAACAAUCUAUGUGCCCAGAUAACUGAAAAUUAAUUUUGGUGCUAUACUCACUUAUUGGAAUAUUAUAAAGACAUUGCAGAGAGACACGGCGGUGGGGAAGACACCUAGACUUCGGGAUUUCCAGGACUGGCCCUAUCUCCUGCUGGGUGUGAGGACUCUGGCCAAGUUUGCCACCUCUCCGGGGUUUCAUUUUUCUCUUAGGGCUUUGUGAGUACAAAAUGAGACAAUGAGUCUUUCCUUUCUGUGAAAACUAUAAAAUGCCAUAUGAAUUUGAGCAGAGGGAGGUAGCACAUAAAAGAUUCUAGUCCACAAGACAGUGUUCAAGCAAGCACUGAGCGCAGGCACAAGCACAGCUUGCCCUGAUGGGCUUUUGUUAUGAAGAAAUGGUCUUGAAUCUCAGCCUAAACAAACAAUGGGGAAGCGUCUUGGCAAAAGAUAAGGAGCAAGAAUGUGUUUUUGCACUAGACCUUCUUGUUCUUUAGAUGAUAUCAACUUCUAGCAGAAUGCCAACUAAAGUUGCAAAGAAAACAAACAGUUCUGCACAUUUCCUGCCAUCUAAGGCUGACCCCCCAUCUCCCAAUUCUUUUUUGCCUGUUUGUGAUUGGAGGGCCUACUGUCCUCUCAGACUGACCAAAGGGUUAUGAUUUGCGGUCAUCGUCAUCGUGAGCAGCACCCAACUACUACUCGAGAUACCCAGGCCUAGCUUACAGGAAGCAGGGGACGGAGUCCUGUAUUCAGGCACCUUGGAUGUGUGGGUUCCCCCAGCAGCUGAGCAUCACCCCAGCCUGCUCCUUCCAGGUGACACUAAGGAAGUGCAACCCCUCCCAGAAGAGCAUGAGCCUGGUGAAGUCCUCAGUGGAACCAGAACUGUUCUUCUCGUCAAGCAGUUAUCUAUGUUAUCUUUCUUGGCACGAUUGUCUUAUGGAUUAGGGAGAUUAGGGGUAAUAAAUGUCUCGUUUGAGUGACAAGCUGGAAA